RNAcentral lists this ribosomal RNA (252 nucleotides) under uncultured Actinomycetales bacterium. Its description in RNAcentral is "partial 16S ribosomal RNA". It matches the Rfam family "Bacterial small subunit ribosomal RNA", at positions 81 to 334 of the family's 1533-position model. The record is from RNAcentral. Lineage: Bacteria; Bacillati; Actinomycetota; Actinomycetes; Actinomycetales.
CUCCUCUGACGUUAGCGGCGGACGGGUGAGUAACACGUGGAUAACCUACCUAUAAGACUGGGAUAACUUCGGGAAACCGGAGCUAAUACCGGAUAGGAGCUCCUGCUGCAUGGUGGGGGUUGGAAAGUUUCGGCGGUUGGGGAUGGACUCGCGGCUUAUCAGCUUGUUGGUGGGGUAGUGGCUUACCAAGGCUUUGACGGGUAGCCGGCCUGAGAGGGUGACCGGCCACAUUGGGACUGAGAUACGGCCCAG